Molecule: ribosomal RNA, 497 nt
Filed under: uncultured bacterium
Lineage: Bacteria
Description: partial 16S ribosomal RNA
Rfam family: Bacterial small subunit ribosomal RNA
Source: RNAcentral
GAUGAACGCUGGCGGCGUGCCUAAUACAUGCAAGUCGAGCGAACAGACGAGGAGCUUGCUCCUCUGACGUUAGCGGCGGACGGGUAAGUAACACGUGGAUAACCUACUUAUAAGACUGGGAUAACUUCGGGAAACCGGAGCUAAUACCGGAUAAUAUUUUGAACCGCAUGGUUCAAUAGUGAAAGACGGUUUUGCUGUCACUUAUAGAUGGAUCCGCGCCGCAUUAGCUAGUUGGUAAGGUAACGGCUUACCAAGGCAACGAUGCGUAGCCGACCUGAGAGGGUGAUCGGCCACACUGGAACUGAGACACGGUCCAGACUCCUACGGGAGGCAGCAGUAGGGAAUCUUCCGCAAUGGGCGAAAGCUUGACGGAGCAACGCCGCGUGAGUGAUGAAGGUCUUCGGAUCGUAAAACUCUGUUAUUAGGGAAGAACAAAUGUGUAAGUAACUAUGCACGUCUUGACGGUACCUAAUCAGAAAGCCACGGCUAACUACGUG